GGAUUUAUCGUUAUUUUUCCCUUCCUCUUUUUGGAUAAAAUAAAAGACGGUGGCGACUCUUGCAUUUAAAAUAUUUUUCAAACGGGUUAAGUUCAAUCAAUACUUAAUCUCGUGAAAAAUCCCACCGCGACAAUUGCAGAGAACAAACUCUACAAUUCAACAAACUCCUCAAUCUUCCUCCUCUUGACCACCACCAACGGAUCCAAGGAUGUCCUCC
RNAcentral lists this long non-coding RNA (217 nucleotides) under Lathyrus oleraceus (garden pea). Its description in RNAcentral is "Pisum sativum (pea) long non-coding RNA (PSAT_LNC029169)". Lineage: Eukaryota; Viridiplantae; Streptophyta; Magnoliopsida; Fabales; Fabaceae. The record is from RNAcentral.